UGGGAAAGAACCGAAAAUGGCAGCCAUGGAUGAGCUCCAUUCGGCCAAGCUUCCAUGGCUUAUAUAGGUACGGUUUUUGUCCCGUUUUUGAAGAUUUUCGUAUUUUUAAGAUCCUCGAAGCUUAAAUUUUCUAUUUCUACCAAUUGAUUGAAGAGAAAUUAGAGUUUAAAAAUUUACCCAUUCAUGAUAUGGUUGUGUUUUGAUGAUUUAUAGUGGAUAAUGAAUGUUUGAUGGGUUAAAUAUGAGUUUUAUUCAAUAAAUUUCGGUAAAAAUGUCAAAAAGGGGUUAAAUUGUAAAAGUUAUAAAUUGGUCAUAAGUGUGUGAAUUAGCGAAAAUUUGGAGUUACCAUAGAAGAGAAAAAUGUUCAGCAUGUCUUAAACCUUAUAGAAAUUGAAUAAAAAAUUAUUUUACGAGCCUAGGGGUAAAAGUGUAAUUUUUGAAAAGUUAGGGGGCAUAAUUGUAAAUUUUCCAAAUUUUGAUAUAUGAAUUGAAUUGGUUAGUGUGUUGAUAAAAUGUGUUAAAUAAGUGUUAUUUGACAUGUUAGAUCAAGAAAACAUGAAAUUUUGGAUUAAGAUCAGAGAAGAACAAAGUUGUGUGCUAAGUUAGGAAAGUUAGCCGUUUCGGCAUUUGAGGUAAGUUGGUAUGAUAAUAAUACUGCAAUAAUGUUAUUGCCUUAAUAUUAAAUGAGAUGUAAGUUCAUAUGUAAGUAAUACAUCAAUUUUACUUGUAUUAUGAUAUUUUAUAAUAAUAUUGUAAAUAUGUUUGUUGAUAAUUACUUGAUUGGUGAAAUUGUUGGAAAAGAGAGAGAAAUUCCGGUUGAACCUUCGGAAAGAUUGAAUGAUACAGAUGGUACGUAGCUAGGUCACAUGUAUGGUGCUGAGUGCACAUCAUGUAUACAAGAAAGCUACGAGACAUUAUAAUGUAGCUAGGUCGCAUGGGUGAUACUAUGUGUACACCAUGUAGACAAGAGAGCUACGAGAUAUAUGUAGCUAGGUCGCAUGCGUGGUUCCAGGUGAAGAACACCAUGUAUACAAGAGAGCUGCGAGAUAAACUGGCUAGGUCACAUGGGUGGUACUAAGUGUUCACCAUGUGUACAAGAGAGCCGAACUAUAUGAUGGGUGGAGCUAUGUGCUGAAACCACCAAGUAUCGAGUAUUGAUCCGAAGUGUUCAACAGGAGACUUACUAUGUACUGCUUUGUGAGUUUUGUGAGGAAUAAGUGCAGGAACUUGGUUAUGUGAAUGAUGUGUUCAUUAAGUGACUGGGAUGUGGCAAGGUUAUAAACAAGUAAGUUCAUACGUAUUAAGUAUUAUUAUAUUGAGCAUUUAAUGCGUUGGAAUCAUAUAAAUGGAAUAUUUAUGAGUAUUUUAAUGAUUAAUGAUUUAUCGACCAAACGAACGGCACUUAGUGUGUGAAGUAUUGAGGAUGGCACUUAGUGUGCAAGACAUCCGAAAUGACACUGUGUAUGAAGUAUUGAUGAUGACACUUAGUGUGCGAAACAUCCGGUAUAGCACUUAGCGUGCAAGACAUCGAUUGUGCAGCGACAUUUCGUGUAAGUAUGAUUUUGUUAUGGAUCGGUACAGGUAUGUACAUGUAUGUAUGAGCUUGUUAAUAAGCAUUAUUAUAAUUGAGAUUUAAUGCUGUAUAAUUGAAUUGUUGAUGAUUAUGAUUGUACGGAAGUAUUUUAUGAAAAUUUGGCAUUGGAAAUUCCUGUUGAACCUUAGGAAUAAAUUAGGAUACAAAGGGCAUGUCAUUAAAGUUACAUUGAUUUGGCUUCGGGCCAUGAUAUUGGCACUUAGUGUGCGAGAUUCCCGAGUAUCCAAUUUCUAUUCCAAAUAGUUCAACGGGUAUAUCGAAAAUAUGAAUGAGUAAUUUAGCCUUGACAGAUUUGAGUUACUGCAGUAGUGUAACUUUGAAAAUACACUAAAAAUAGUGGAAAUUGAGUUAGAGGCAGAAUAAAAUAUGGGAUUAAAGCUUAAUGAGUCUAUAUUCACAUGAAAGAAACAGAAGAAGAAAAAGAAUUCCAUAUUGUGUGAUAUUUGAAUUCUUGUGAAACAGGGUCUUAAUGAAUUCGAGAUCCCCUAUUCUGACUUUAGAAAUUCACCAAAACUUUUACAAAAAUUAUUAAGAGUCAUACCUUACAUGCAUGGAUUCCUUAUUGAGUCUAUUUUUAGGGGAAAUAAACGGCAUGGUCGUUGGAAUUCUGUACAGGAAUAAAUUCGGUUCGUAGUGCACAGGGGUCAUAGUGGUCAUACCCUGAAACAGGGGAGGCUUUAACUAAUAAACUAUACUAAUUGGCCCAACCAAAAAUUAUAGAAAACAAUUAAUAAGUAUAAAUAUGAGUCUAGUUUCAAGAGAAAUAGACGAAAACAUUAUUCGAGUCUUGUACUAUGAGAUAAUUGAACUUUAGUACAGAAGGGUCGGAACUGUCAGACAAUGAAUCAAGGGUAACUUUGAGGAAUAAACUGUACUAUUUGGCUUAACCAAAAAUUCUGGAAAUUUUAUGGAAGAAAGGAAAAUAAGUCUAGUUUCAUGGAAAAUUAACGGAAAUUAAUUCGGAGUUUCGUAGCUCCAGAUAUAAAUAAUUUAGUGACUAUGAUUCAGGAAAACAGCCUUAGCUGAUCUUGUGUAAAAAGAUGAAAUCAUGUGAUUAAUGAUUCUAUUUUUUUGAGCAUAUUUAUUAAGGAAUGGGAUAAUAUUGUUAAUUAAAUUGCUUAUUAUUAUUAAUAUUCCAACUUACUAAGCUUUUAAGCUUACACCAUUUUCCCAUUUCUCUUAGUGUUGUCAGGUUGGCUCGGGGUUGGAGAUCGUCGGAAGUAUCAUCACACUAUUAGUUUAUCAAAUUAGAAUAAUGAUAAUUCUUAUUUAUUGUCAAAUAAGUGGCAUGUAUAGAUAAUAAGUUAUUGAUAUUAGGUAAUAUUAUGAUUUAGCCAAAUGUAUAGGCUCAUUUUGCUUCAUUGUAUAUAGCCAUAAGAUUUGGCUCAUAAUGGUUAAAGUUAUGUAAACCUAUUUUAUGUAUGCAUAGAUAAAUAUCUUGGUGUGGCUAAGUUAAGAACACAAAAAGGGCUUGGAAAAUAGCAUAUGAUACACAUGGGCUUGAGACACGGCCGUGUGUCUCAACAGUGUGAAGAACACGGCCACCACACAGGUGUAUGGUCUAGCCGUGUAAGCAAGUCAGUAGCUAGCUAAUUUUUACACGGGGUCUAGACACGGGCGUGUGACCCUGCUUUGGUAAAAAAAAAUUACUAAGUGUCUGAAAGAUUUCGGUUUGUUUCCAAACCAAUUUCAAUGAUUGUUUUGGGCCUCGUAGGCCCUUAUAAGGGACAAAUUAUAUAUGUUUGAAAAGUUUAAAAUUUGAUGAAAUUUUAUGUCUUAGUUUUAAAUGAUUACAAGUACUUAAGUCCAGUAAUACCUCGUACCCUGUUCCGGCAUCAGAUACGAGUAAGGGGUGUUACAUUUAGUGGUAUCAGAGCCAGGUUUAGUUUAGUCGAUUCUCGGACUAACAUAGCAAGUGUGAGAGUCUAGUUAUACAUGCCACAAAUAUGUGAUAGUGUUAUGUCUCCUGACGCUAAUGAGGACCAUUUUGUUUAAAAUGAAGUAUUCUCCAACCGAGCUGCAUCUGAUCAUUUGAUAGCGAUAUUAAAGUAUUUGAAUAAAGUGUAGCUAUGAUGUGUUAAACUCGAAAAGGUAUGAAUAAGAGUUAGUGAUAUAUGUAUAUGUGAUAAUAUGUGAGAUGGAAGUUUAUAUAGUGAUAUAUUAAUUCAUAUUUGUUUAGCCUUCAUAUGUUGUUGCAUGCUUGACUAAAUUGAUUAGUAAAUGUGAUUACUAAAGUUAUUCAAAAUUCAUAGAAUGUAUGAGUGAGUGCACUUGUUUGAAAUGAGAUAAUUGGGAAUUUUGUGUAAGACAGAUAUGAAUAAUAAAUUGUUUGAAGUGGAUAGUAUAAUUAUAAUGACAUAUGUGGAUAAUGAAAAAUGUGUCAUAUAGAUAUAUGUGAGAAUCGAGUUAAAGGCUGUACGACAUCACCCCCUUACUGAUGAGGUGGUUAUAACGAAAAUUCACGAGAAUCAUGUUGAUUAAGUUCCUAAGUGUGGAAUCAAAGAGUUCAGUGAUAAAUUAAUUAUAGAUAUGACCAGAGGCUGAGAAUGGUUGACAAGUGAAUGACAGAGUUAGAGAAAUAUCAGAGUUGACUGAGUUAUCUUGGGAUUCAAAUUGAUGACCGAGUGUUUCUGGAAGUAUCGCCUUGAAAACAAUUAGUUAGUGAUGCUGGAAAUUAUGAGAAAGAUACUAAACCUCACUCCGGUAAGAUUUUCGAGGACGAAAAUCUCCAAAGGGGGGAGAGUUGUAACAGCCCAAAAUUAGGUCUAGUCGGAAUAGUGGUUUCGGGACCACAAACCCGACGAGAAAAAAAUUUUAUUUUUAUUAUAUUUUUAUAGUCUAUAAAUUUAUGAAAAUAUUUUGUAAAAAUUUCAUUCGAAAAUUUUGACGUUUGGGCACUUAAUUUAGUCAAAAGGACUAAAUUGUAAAAAGUGCAAAAGUUGAGUUCUUUAUAUAUGAGGUGCCUAAUUGUUAUGAGUUUUAAAUUGAAAGUCCUUAUGUGAUAAUUAUUCCUUUAAUAAGUUAGUGAAUGGAUAUUUUUUUGGUAUUUUUGAAAUUUGGUUGAAAUAAAAAGGGUAAUUUUGUAAAUUAAUUAAAAUAACCUAAUAAGACAAAAAUGAUAAAAGCUAUCAUUUUUUUUUUCCAUUCUUUCUUCUUCAACCGUGGGAAAGAACCGAAAAUGGCAGCCAUGGAUGAGCUCCAUUCGGCCAAGCUUCUAUGGCUUAAAUAGGUACGGUUUUUGUCCCGUUUUUAAAGAUUUUCGUAUUUUUAAGAUCCUCGAAGCUUAAAUUUUCUAUUUCUACCAAUUGAUUGAAGAGAAAUUAGAGUUUAAAAAUUUACCCAUUCAUGAUAUGGUUGUGUUUUGAUGAUUUAUAGUGGAUAAUGAAUGUUUGAUGUGUUAAAUAUGAGUUUUAUUCAAUGAAUUUCGGUAAAAAUGUCAAAAAGGGGUUAAAUUGUAAAAGUUAUAAAUUGGUCAUAAGUGUGUGAAUUAGUGAAAAUUUGCAGUUGCCAUAGAAGAGAAAAAUGUUCAGCAUGUCUUAAACCUUAUAGAAAUUGAAUAAAAAAUUAUUUUACGAGCCUAGGGGUAAAAGUGUAAUUUUUGAAAAGUUAGGGGCAUAAUUGUAAAUUUUCCAAAUUUUGAUAUAUGAAUUGAAUUGGUUAGUGUGUUGAUAAAAUGUGUUAAAUAAGUGUUAUUUGACAUGUUAGAUCAAGAAAACUUGAAAUUUUGGAUUAAGAUCAGAGAAGAACAAAGUUGUGUGCUAAGUUAGGAAAGUUAGCCGUUUCGGCAUCUGAGGUAAGUUGGUAUGAUAAUAAUACUGCAAUAAUGUUAUUGCCUUGAUAUUAAACGAGAUGUAAGUUCAUAUGUAAGUAAUACAUCAAUUUUACUUGUAUUAUGAUAUUUUAUAAUAAUAUUGUAAAUAUGUUUGUUGAUAAUUACUUGAUUGGUGAAAUUGUUGGAAAAGAGAGAGAAAUCCCGGUUGAACCUUCAGAAAGAUUGAAUGAUACAGAUGGUACGUAGCUAGGUCAUAUGUAUGGUGUUAACUGCACAUCAUGUGUACAAGAAAGCUACGAGACAUUAUAAUGUAGCUAGGUCGCAUGGGUGAUACUAUGUGUACACCAUGUAGACAAGAGAGCUACGAGAUAUAUGUAGCUAGGUCGCAUGCGUGGUUCCAGGUGAAGGACACCAUGUAGACAAGAGAGCUACGAGAUAAACUGGCUAGGUCACAUGGGUGGUACUAAGUGUUCACCAUGUGUACAAGCGAGCCGAACUAUAUGAUGGGUGGAGCUAUGUGCUGAAACCACCAAGUAUCGAGUAUUGAUCCGAAGUGUUCAACAGGAGACUUACUAUGUACUGCUUUGUGAGUUUUGUGAGGAAUAAGUGCAGGAACUUAGUUAUGUGAAUGAUGUGUUCAUUAAGUGACUGGGAUGUGGCAAGGUUAUAAACAAGUAAGUUCGUACAUAUUAAGUAUUAUUAUAUUGAGCAUUUGAUGCGUUGGAAUCAUAUAAAUGGAAUAUUUAUGAGUAUUUUAAUGAUUAAUGAUUUAUCGACCAAACGAACGGCACUUAGUGUGCGAAGUAUUGAGGAUGGCACUUAGUGUGCAAGACAUCCGAAAUGACACAGUGUAUGAAGUAUUGAUGAUGACACCUAGUGUGCGAAACAUCCGGUAUAGCACUUAGCGUGCAAGACAUCGAUUGUGCAGCGACAUUUCGUGUAAGUAUGAUUUUGUUAUGGAUCGGUACAGGUAUGUACAUGUAUGUAUGAGCUUGUUAAUAAGCAUUAUUAUAAUUGAGAUUUAAUGCUGUAUAAUUGAAUUGUUGAUGAUUAUGAUUGUACGGAAGUAUUUUAUGAAAAUUUGGCAUUGGAAAUUCCUGUUGAACCUUAGGAAUAAAUUAGGAUACAAAGGGCAUGUCAUUAAAGUUACAUUGAUUUGGCUUCGGGCCAUGAUAUUGGCACUUAGUGUGCGAGAUUCCCGAGUAUCCAAUUUCUAUUCCAAAUAGUUCAACGGGUAUAUCGAAAAUAUGAAUGAGUAAUUUAGCCUCGACAGAUUUGAGUUACUGCAGUAGUGUAACUUUGAAAAUACACUAAAAAUAGUGGAAAUUGAGUUAGAGGCAGAAUAAAAUAUGGGAUUAAAGCUUAACGAGUCUAUAUUCACAUGAAAGAAACAGAAGAAGAAAAAGAAUUCCAUAUUGUGUGAUAUUUGAAUUCUUGUGAAAUAGGGUCUGAAUGAAUUCGAGAUCCCCUAUUCUGACUUUAGAAAUUCACCAAAAAUUGUACAAAAAUUAUUAACGAGUCUAUUUUUAGGGGAAAUAAACGUCAUGGUUGUUGGAAUUCUGUACAGGAAUAAAUUCGGUUCGUAGUGCACAGGGGUCAGAGUGGUCAUACCCUGAAACAUGGGAGACUUUAACUAAUAAACUGUACUAAUUUGCCCAACCAAAAAUUCUAGAAAAAAAUUAGUAAGUAGAAAUAUGAGUCUAUUUUAAGAGAAAUAGACGAAAACAUUAUUCGAGUCUUGUACUAUGAGAUAAUUGAACUUUAGUACAGAAGGGUCGGAACUGUCAGACAAUGAAUCAAGGGUAACUUUGAGGAAUAAACUGUACUAUUUGGCUUAACCAAAAAUUCUGGAAAUUUUAUGGAAGAAAGGAAAAUAAGUCUAGUUUCAUGGAAAAUUAACGGAAAUUAAUUCGGAGUUUCGUAGCUCCAGAUAUAAAUAAUUUAGUGACUAUGAUUCAGGAAAACAGCCUUAGCUGAUCUUGUGUAAAAAGAUGAAAUCAUGUGAUUAAUGAUUCUAUUUUCUUGAGCAUAUUUAUUGAGGAAUGGGAUAAUAUUGUUAAUUAAAUUGCUUAUUAUUAUUAAUAUUCCAACUUACUAAGCUUUUAAGCUUACACCAUUUUCCCAUUUCUCUUCGUGUUGUCAGGUUGGCUCGGGGUUGGAGAUCGUCGGAAGUAUCAUCACACUAUUAGUUUAUCAAAUUAGAAUAAUGGUAAUUCUUAUUUAUUGUCAAAUAAGUGGCAUGUAUAGAUAAUAAGUUAUUGAUAUUAGGUAAUAUUAUGAUUUAGCCAAAUGUAUAGGCUCAUUUUGCUUCAUUGUAUAUAGCCAUAAGAUUUGGCUCAUAAUGGUUAAAGUUAUGUAAACCUAUUUUAUGUAUGCAUAGAUAAAUAUCUUGGUGUGGCUAAGUUAAGAACACAAAAAGGGCUUGGAAAAUAGCAUACGAUACACAUGGGCUUGAGACACGGCCGUAUGUCUCAGCAGUGUGAAGAACAAGGCCACCACACGGGUGUGUGGUCUAGCCGUAUAAGCAAGUCAGUAGCUAGCUAAUUUUUACACGGGAUCUAGACACGGGCGUGUGACCC
This 7945-nucleotide long non-coding RNA is filed under the name Gossypium barbadense (sea-island cotton). Its description in RNAcentral is "long non-coding RNA (GBAR_LNC006980)". The record is from RNAcentral. Lineage: Eukaryota; Viridiplantae; Streptophyta; Magnoliopsida; Malvales; Malvaceae.